RNAcentral lists this ribosomal RNA (497 nucleotides) under uncultured bacterium. Its description in RNAcentral is "partial 16S ribosomal RNA". It matches the Rfam family "Bacterial small subunit ribosomal RNA", at positions 28 to 507 of the family's 1533-position model. The record is from RNAcentral.
GAUGAACGCUGGCGGCGUGCCUAAUACAUGCAAGUCGAGCGAACGGACGAGAAGCUUGCUUCUCUGAUGUUAGCGGCGGACGGGUGAGUAACACGUGGAUAACCUACCUAUAAGACUGGGAUAACCUCGGGAAACCGGAGCUAAUACCGGAUGAUAUUUUGAACCGCAUGGUUCAAAAGUGAAAGACGGUCUUGCUGUCACUUAUAGAUGGAUCCGCGCUGCAUUAGCUAGUUGGUAAGGUAACGGCUUACCAAGGCAACUAUGCAUAGCCGACCUGAGAGGGUGAUCGGCCACACUGGAACUGAGACACGGUCCAGACUCCUACGGGAGGCAGCAGUAGGGAAUCUUCCGCAAUGGGCGAAAGCCUGACGGAGCAACGCCGCGUGAGUGAUGAAGGUCUUCGGAUCGUAAAACUCUGUUAUUAGGGAAGAACAUAUGUGUAAGUAACUGUGCACAUCUUGACGGUACCUAAUCAGAAAGCCACGGCUAACUACGUG